AUUGCUUCUCGGCCUUCUGGCUAAGAUCAAGUGUAGUAUAAUUUAUUAGGCUUUAGUUGUUAUUCAUUUUAUUAUUACAGGUGUUUUUCCUGUUAGAAGAAUAUUCACACACUCUCC
Molecule: small nuclear RNA, 117 nt
Gene: U2
Rfam family: U2 spliceosomal RNA
About the family: U2 is a small nuclear RNA (snRNA) component of the spliceosome (involved in pre-mRNA splicing). Complementary binding between U2 snRNA (in an area lying towards the 5' end but 3' to hairpin I) and the branchpoint sequence (BPS) of the intron results the bulging out of an unpaired adenosine, on the BPS, which initiates a nucleophilic attack at the intronic 5' splice site, thus starting the first of two transesterification reactions that mediate splicing.
Source: Ensembl